CGGGCUCCGCGCGCUCCGGCAGCGCAGUCGGGUCCCCUCCCCCCGGGAGGCUUGCGAAGGAGAAGCCGCUGCAGAGGAAAAGCAGGUGCCGGUGCCUGUCCCCGGGGGCGCCAUGGCGACCGGAGCGAACGCCACACCGUUGGACUUCCCAAGUAAGAAGCGGAAGAGGAGCCGCUGGAACCAAGACACAAUGGAACAGAAGACGGUGAUUCCAGGAAUGCCUACAGUUAUUCCCCCUGGACUUACUCGAGAACAAGAAAGAGCUUAUAUAGUGCAACUGCAGAUAGAAGACCUGACUCGUAAACUGCGCACAGGAGACCUGGGCAUCCCCCCUAACCCUGAGGACAGGUUGGGAAACAGUUUUAACCAGCUGACAGUAACGCUUUUACCUUUUUCUCAAUACGUUUUACUGGUGGCAACAUAUUGUGUCAGUUCAAUAAAAUCCUAGUAUGACGACUGUACCCUGUCCACUCUGGGGAUUAAGGUUUAAUUAGAAAUAUGUAUGGUCAGUCAACAGUUAGAAAAUUGGAAUAAAACUUAAAAAUGUUGGGAGAAUAAAAAGUUACAGGAAAAUGGACAACUGGUUUCCAAUUGGUAAGCAUGUAGAUCUUCACCUGAUUUACCCACCCUUAGGGACAGUGAGGUGGCCCGUUAACCUGCCUUUUCAGUACCUGCUUUGGCCGAAAGCCCAGGGCAUAGAAUUUUUCUCACAGGUACACGGUGCAGGGACUAAAAAUAUUUUUGAGCAUCCCUG
RNAcentral lists this small RNA (754 nucleotides) under Pongo abelii (Sumatran orangutan). RNAcentral's name for it is "retained intron". Lineage: Eukaryota; Metazoa; Chordata; Mammalia; Primates; Hominidae. The record is from RNAcentral.